Molecule: long non-coding RNA, 517 nt
Filed under: Bos taurus (domestic cattle)
Lineage: Eukaryota; Metazoa; Chordata; Mammalia; Artiodactyla; Bovidae
Description: long non-coding RNA NONBTAT016178
Source: RNAcentral
AUGAAGGAGGCAAUGGUUCAGGCAGAGGAAGCAGCUGCUGAGAUUACUAGGAAGCUCGAGAAACGAGAAGAAGGAAAAGAAAAGGCUGGCUGCGAUUGCCCUAGCUUCUUCAGAAAAUAGCAGUGCCCAGGAGGAGUGUGAGGAGACAAGUGAAAGACCCAAAAAGAAGAAAAAGCAAAAGCCCCAGGAGGUUCUUCAGGAGAAUGGAAUGGAAGACCCUUCUGUCUCUUUUUCCAAACCCAAGAAAAAGAAAUCUUUUUCCAAGGAAGAGCUAGUUAGUAGUGAUCUUGAAGAGACAGCUGGUACUGGAAGUCUUCCCAAGAGGAAGAAAUCUUUUCCCAAAGAGGAACCAGUUACUGACCCUGAUGAGUCAGAAAACAAGAGGGUCCCCAAGAAAAAGCGGAAAUUGUCUUCCAAGGAGGAGCCACUCAGCAGUGGACCUGAAGAGGCUGCUGCUGGCAAGAGCAGCAGCUCCAUGAAAAAGAAAAAGCUCCGAAAGCUAUCCCAAGAAAGUUAG